AGUCGAGCGAUGAAGUUCCUUCGGGAACGGAUUAGCGGCGGACGGGUGAGUAACACGUGGGUAACCUGCCUUAUAGAGGGGGAUAGCCUUCCGAAAGGAAGAUUAAUACCGCAUAAAGUUGUUGAUUCGCAUGGAUCGAUAACCAAAGGAGCAAUCCGCUAUAAGAUGGACCCGCGGCGCAUUAGCUAGUUGGUGAGGUAGAAGCUCACCAAGGCGACGAUGCGUAGCCGACCCGAGAGGGUGAUCGGCCACAUUGGGACUGAGACACGGCCCAGACUCCUACGGGAGGCAGCAGUGGGGAAUAUUGCACAAUGGGGGAAACCCUGAUGCAGCAACGCCGCGUGAGUGAUGAAGGCCUUCGGGUUGUAAAGCUCUGUUUUUGGGGACGAUAAUGACGGUACCCAAGGAGGAAGCCACGGCUAACUACGUGCCAGCAGCCGCGGUAAUACGUAGGUGGCAAGCGUUGUCCGGAUUUACUGGGCGUAAAGGGAGCGUAGGCGGAUUUUUAAGUGGGAUGUGAAAUACCCGGGCUCAACUUGGGUGCUGCAUUCCAAACUGGAAGUCUAGAGUGCAGGAGAGGAAAGUGGAAUUCCUAGUGUAGCGGUGAAAUGCGUAGAGAUUAGAAGAACACCAGUGGCGAAGGCGACUUUCUGGACUGUAACUGACGCUGAGCUCGAAAGCGUGGGGAGCAAACAGGAUAGAUACCCUGUAGUCCACGCCGUAAACGAUGGAUACUAGGUGUGGGAGGUAUCAACUCCUUCCGUGCCGCCGUAACACAUUAA
Molecule: ribosomal RNA, 782 nt
Filed under: uncultured bacterium
Lineage: Bacteria
Description: bacterial SSU rRNA
Rfam family: Bacterial small subunit ribosomal RNA
Source: RNAcentral